GCUUGUUGUGGCCGGCCUAUUGGGUCUCGGCGCUGGGACCGGCCAGGGGUGCGAAAGGCGGAUCCUUUCCACCCGUCUCUGCGGUUGGCGUAGCGGUGGGGCUCGGGGUACUUGGUGUCAAGGUCUUGGAUUCUGGGACGGUGGCCCUGGUGGUGGUGGCACGAUGCUCAUGGGCAGAGCUCGUGCCUCGGUGUUGCCCGGAUGCCACGGCCGUGUGGGCGGCGUGGUAGCCGGGUGUGGCGUUCGGUGGAGGUGAGUGUUGGCCGGGGUGAAAACCUACUCUAUCUUCGGACGGACCGGCGACGACGAAGAUCGCUCCCUUCUUGAAGGCGUCGUCGCGGCUAUCAUUGCCCGUCGUGUUACUCCAAAGAAACUCUGAUCUUCGGAUCAGGCGGUGACGGCGCUCCGGUGUCGUAUCCUCCCUGAAGGCACCGCCUUGAAGCCCACGGUUCGUCAUAUGCGGCUUCACUUCUUCGGAUGAAACCCCCGGCGGCUCUUGUAGUGCUAGGGAGUGUGUUGCUACGCUCAAUGCCUAUAUAUCCUGUCUUGGGUGUGUGUGCGUUUGUGAUGGGUGAGUGUGGUUGUACCGGGCACUGCUGGUCUAUACUUUAUAUAUAAAGCGGGGCGAAAGCCUUUUUCGGUAGUGUUGGCCAGUUACUAAUUAAAAAAAAACAGGUGAGCUCAUCUUCUUACCCAAAUCUACCGCGACCAUGGAUUCGGGGACGAAGGGCGGCGGAGGUGGGACUUUGACGGCGCAUGUACCCAGGGAGGACGGCGGUCGGAUGCGGGACCAGCUGCGGCUGGUCGGGCACGCCGCUGCGGAGCAGAUGGCGCGGAGGCGGAGAAUCGCCGCUCGUACGCCGCCUGAGAGAGGCCAUCACAAGCCAUCGGCUGUUCAACUUUGUUCCUUUCCUCAAAGGCUGAGACGUGCAACUCACAAAACUCCAAAAACAUGUGCUGUAAUGUCUUUGUUUCUUAGAGCUGAACCACACUGCACUUCAGGUAUCAGUGCAAAUGCUUUAGCCUAAGAAACAGAGUGGUAUAAAUAUUUACAAACUCAGAUAGCCACUAGUCCACCCACAGGCAUUCUGCACACAAACACAAUAGUAUCAUUACAUCGGAGGGAGCAACAAAAGCUCUCUGCCAGCAAUGGCGGAGGUUGGGGGCAUGCCUGUGAGUGCUGUGGGGAAACAACUCGCUAGCAAGCUUAUGAAGGAGGAGAUUGCUCUGCUGUGGGGCUUCCAGGACGAAGUGGAAGGCUUGGAGGAGAAAAUGAAAGAUCUGGAGGCCGUGACGCAUGAUGCUGACGAUAGGCUGCGCCGAGGAGAAAUAGAUGGGGCAGCAGUUGGGCGGUGGCUCACUAAAUUUAAGUCCGUCGCCUACGAGGUUGAGGAUGUCCUCAAUGAGUUUGAUGCCAAUGAGCUCAUCAAGAAGACCCAAUCAAACCUACGGCGCAUUUCACCAUGCUCCACCUACGGCGCUCCUCCGACCACCGGCUGAUUGUGUACUCCGAUGCCGACUGGGCAUCUAAUGGAAGUCACGGUGUGUUCCAUAAUUCGAAUGUCUCUGCCUGAAGCAUGCAAAAUACUAUGGCCUUGAAGGAACUCUACAUCUUGGACUGCUCACAAGAUUUCUCACAACCGGACAGUUACGUUAAAUAAUGCUGAGUUUGCCGCGAAGCUCUGGCAGUUGGGGACUAUUGAUUCAGAAGGGUAACAGGGGAACGAUUUAGGAGAGGAAAAAGAAGGCUGGGAUUGAUGGCUGCAACAUGGAGAGCUAAAAGAAACAAACAGCCAGAGGCGAUUGGAACUCUGUGUCUGUGAAGCUGGAGUCCCGAGCAUUAUUUUUCUUUUAUCUGGAGAAGACUGUAAUGCUCUCGUGUCCUUUGUCAAUACAAUUCUGGGGCUCUCCUAUAAUGCCAUGGGAAAGAGUGAUAGGAUUCAGAACCAGAGGCUUCCGCCAUAUACAGUAUUUCGUUAAUGGGGCAGCACCAGCGGGAGUCGAGAUCCACCACCACGAGCUCUAGUUCAUCUGUUGAUCGGAGUGUAGGUCUGAUCCAGUGGCAACAACCAGUGGAGGAGGCCUGAACAAGCCCACGUAUAUCUGAAAAUCCAGUCAUAUUUGCUAACUUCCACAUCUGCAUUGCGAGGAAGUUUUACUCAUUGUUGGAGAGGGUAGGAUGCGGUUGAAGAGUGAAGCCGGUAAUAGCAGAGCAUGGAGAGGCAAGUUAAAUUUCUGCUGGCAUUAGCACCUGCAAAGUUGUGAUGAGGAAGGAAGGAACCUUGCGGGAGAAAGUUUCAGAACAUCCACGCUUUUCUCUGCAAAUUUUUAGUAUCAAUUGAACUCGACUGACUUUGUUCUGAAAAGAUGCAACAUAGUGAACUGUUGACCGCCACAUUCCGUAGGUUCAUAGUGAACUGCUGAACCUUCCAAUAUACUGAGCUUUGUUAACCAAUAAAUAGUUUGCGUUGUUCUGGCUAAUUUCAAUCUGUAUGCUGAACUUUAAGUAUCUUCUCGGCUUCAAAAGCAAAGAUGGAUAAUUCUUCUCACAGUAUGCUCUCUUUGGCAGCAACAGCUGAGGGUGAGCACCGUGGAUUUUCAACAUGGGAAGAUGGAAUGGAAUACUGCUUCUGAAAAGCAGGAUUGAAACCACCCGCUUCUCUAUAUGUUGGUUUGUACGGAGAGAGCAAGUGAAAUCGUCAACACAUUCUCAUCAAGAGCUGAUAAACAGGGACAGAGACUGGAUAACUCAUCGAUGUUGCGACAACAUUCUCUGCGCUUGUACAGGUGGGAUGGCACAACUGUUGGUCUGGUCAGCUAAGACAGCAGUCAGACUGAGUCGUGACGGGAGUCAAAGGCGAAGGUCGCAACAUGGGUCGCCUGCAUGAUGAUGUAAUACAACAGGUCGCAUCUCCCACCCUAAAACAAGGAAGCAUCUCUCACAUACUGAAGAAGGGGAAUUCCGUGAGCCUGAAAGAUUGACACCUAAGGUUUUGCACAUGAUAUGCCCAAUAUGGCCUCGGUAAACCAACAUUAUUUGUCUAAGCUGGAAUGAUAUGAAAUACUGGUACUACAAAUCAUCCGGGAAACAGUAUUAUGCUUGUUGAAAAGAUUCGCAAAGCCGCGGACAUUACAUACCCAUGUUCAGAGGCCAUGGUACUCUGCUCAUGCUGAAAUAGCUGCGGAUAAAAUACAUUGUAUAUGUACAGUAGAAUAUAUAUGUCUUUUAUUGGAGAGUA
Molecule: non-coding RNA, 3239 nt
Organism: Aegilops tauschii subsp. strangulata
Lineage: Eukaryota; Viridiplantae; Streptophyta; Magnoliopsida; Poales; Poaceae
Source: RefSeq, a predicted model, not a curated record